This 66-nucleotide non-coding RNA is filed under the name Mycobacterium sp. Lineage: Bacteria; Bacillati; Actinomycetota; Actinomycetes; Mycobacteriales; Mycobacteriaceae. RNAcentral also lists the same sequence under 1 other name. The record is from RNAcentral.
GAAGAGCCUCAAUGAAGGCUUCCGGACGAGGGGUGCCGUACCCGGCGAGCGAAAAGACGGCCCAGG